UUUAUCGAUCUUGCAUUGCACUUUGUGAGAUUAGAUUUAGAACCGUUACAUGGAGUCCGAACUGUAGUGAGCCUAAUGAACAAAACGGGAGUUUCCCGGGGCGUUCGGGCGCGUCUACACACCCAAGCCGCUUGGAGAAGUAAUCCCCCUCCACAAUGAAGCCACCAAACAAGGGUUCGUGGGACCCACCUCCUUACUACUCCAAUCCCACUCCCAAAUCUCCCAAACAAACAUGACCUCAAGGAAUUUGCUAAUUUCAUUCUUGCAUCAAGCACUAGGUAGGAUGUCCUUGGUAGCUUUGUUCUAUGGUAAGACAUGUUAUGUUCCUUUUAUUUGUGUAUCACACAUAUUAAUAUUUGGUCCUUUUUGGAGAGUUCAAACAACUCAACUUUUUAUUGGGUUUUUUUAAUGAUGUUUAUCUUCCAUUUGUUUUAUGUGUAAUAAGCAUUUGAAUUUUUGUUAUUAAUAUUGAUUGCAAUUUCUGCACUGGUUGGGUUUCCUUAUCAUUCACACACAGGUUUGAUUCUUGACUUUUUUAUUUUAUUUUUCCCUCCAAAAUACUAUGUAUAUUUCUUGAGAAAAGAUUGUCUGCUUGCUAACAAUGUCUAUAGCCUGAUGAUCAAGUCUGUUAGAAUUAGUGGAAGAUUGAUCUUGGCUCAAACCACUUUAAUCAACUAUUAUGUGUCCUGCAGCCCUUGGAUGAGUUAUUUGGGCUUUAGUGUCUGUGUUUUCUGCUGGUGUUGUAGCUGUGUUUUCUACUGGUGCUUUGGCUGUGGUUGCAGCUGUGUUGUGUUUUCAUGAAAUUUUCAAUGACAUUUUAUUCAUGUUAUUUGUUCUUAUCCAAUGCAGGCUCAAAUAUCGAAGAAAGGAAAGAAGAAAAAGAAGAAGUAGAUAGGACAAACUCAAUGAAAAAAGGCCUCUUUUUUGUUGUUCAAAUAUCAAAAAAAUGAAAGAAGAGGGGGAAGAAGUAGAUAAGACAAACUCAAUGAAAAAAUGCCUCUUUUUUGUUAUUUUUGUUCGACAGAAAAACCGUUCAUCUUCUAAAGCACCAGAUAAUCCAAUCAAGGUAUGUAAAUAUCCCUAUCAUAUUUGCCAAAUAGAAUUACCUUCCUUCAUUUUUUAGUCCAGUCUGAUGGAAUUUAAUUCGGAAUGCAUUUCACAAAGUGCCUAAUUUAGAGCAGUCCCUGAAAUCAUGGUAUAUGGUCUAAAGAAAAUUCAGGGUAUCAGAAUACUGAAACACCUAAGUUGAUGUCAUAUUUUGGACAACAUGUGAAAAUAGAUGAUCUAAAGGUUUAUUCUAAUUGAUAAUAGAUUAUAAGAUGCAGCAAUUGUCAUGACCCACUCCCCGUAUCCG
Molecule: non-coding RNA, 1354 nt
Organism: Camellia sinensis
Lineage: Eukaryota; Viridiplantae; Streptophyta; Magnoliopsida; Ericales; Theaceae
Source: RefSeq, a predicted model, not a curated record